UACGGAGGGUGCGAGCGUUGUCCGGAAUCACUGGGCGUAAAGGGCGCGUAGGCGGCGCGGUAAGUCACUUGUGAAAUCUCUGAGCUUAACUCAGAACGGCCAAGUGAUACUGCAGUGCUAGAGUGCAGAAGGGGCAAUCGGAAUUCUUGGUGUAGCGGUGAAAUGCGUAGAUAUCAAGAGGAACACCUGAGGUGAAGACGGGUUGCUGGGCUGACACUGACGCUGAUGCGCGAAAGCCAGGGGAGCAAACGGG
This 253-nucleotide ribosomal RNA is filed under the name uncultured prokaryote. RNAcentral's name for it is "partial 16S ribosomal RNA". It matches the Rfam family "Bacterial small subunit ribosomal RNA", at positions 524 to 776 of the family's 1533-position model. The record is from RNAcentral.